Molecule: transfer RNA, 73 nt
Filed under: Merluccius polli (Benguela hake)
Lineage: Eukaryota; Metazoa; Chordata; Actinopteri; Gadiformes; Merlucciidae
Rfam family: tRNA
About the family: Transfer RNA (tRNA) molecules are approximately 80 nucleotides in length. Their secondary structure includes four short double-helical elements and three loops (D, anti-codon, and T loops).
Source: Rfam by way of RNAcentral
UCCUCGUUAGUAUAGUGGUCAGUAUCCCCGCCUAUCACGCGGGAGACCCGGGGUUCAAUUCCCCGACAGGGAG